GUUUGAUCCUGGCUCAGAACGAACGCUGGCGGCAGGCCUAACACAUGCAAGUCGAGCGCGCCUUUCGGGGUGAGCGGCGGACGGGUUAGUAACGCGUGGGAAUAUGCCCUUUGGUACGGAAUAGCCUCUGGAAACGGAGAGUAAUACCGUAUGCGCCCUUCGGGGGAAAGAUUUAUCGCCAAAGGAUUAGCCCGCGUUAGAUUAGGUAGUUGGUGGGGUAAUGGCCUACCAAGCCUACGAUCUAUAGCUGGUUUUAGAGGAUGAUCAGCAACACUGGGACUGAGACACGGCCCAGACUCCUACGGGAGGCAGCAGUGGGGAAUCUUGGACAAUGGGGGCAACCCUGAUCCAGCCAUGCCGCGUGAGUGAUGAAGGCCUUAGGGUCGUAAAGCUCUUUCGCCUGUGAAGAUAAUGACGGUAGCAGGUAAAGAAACCCCGGCUAACUCCGUGCCAGCAGCCGCGGUAAUACGGAGGGGGUUAGCGUUGUUCGGAAUUACUGGGCGUAAAGCGCACGUAGGCGGAUCGGAAAGUUGGGGGUGAAAUCCCGGGGCUCAACCCCGGAACUGCCUCCAAAACUAUCGGUCUAGAGUUCGAGAGAGGUGAGUGGAAUUUCGAGUGUAGAGGUGAAAUUCGUAGAUAUUCGGAGGAACACCAGUGGCGAAUGCUGCUCANCGGUUUAGGGAGAACGGUGAGGACGAAAGUGUGGGGAGCAAACAGGAUUAGCCACCGGAGUAGUC
RNAcentral lists this ribosomal RNA (737 nucleotides) under uncultured marine bacterium. RNAcentral describes it as "bacterial SSU rRNA". It matches the Rfam family "Bacterial small subunit ribosomal RNA", at positions 11 to 795 of the family's 1533-position model. The record is from RNAcentral.